Non-coding RNA from Xylaria sp. FL0043, 94 nucleotides. NCBI's taxonomy places the organism in Eukaryota, Fungi, Ascomycota, Sordariomycetes, Xylariales, Xylariaceae. The record is from the annotation of a GenBank genome assembly.
GGCCUCGUGGCCUAAUGGCUAGGGCGCUAGAUUUCGGUGGCUUACCAAUCAUUGAAACCUCUAGAGAUUGUCGGUUCGAGUCCGGCCGAGGUCG